This 770-nucleotide ribosomal RNA is filed under the name uncultured Bacteroidota bacterium. RNAcentral's name for it is "bacterial SSU rRNA". It matches the Rfam family "Bacterial small subunit ribosomal RNA", at positions 8 to 774 of the family's 1533-position model. Lineage: Bacteria; Pseudomonadati; Bacteroidota. The record is from RNAcentral.
ANAGUUUGAUGCUGGCUCAGAAUGAACGCUAGCGGGAGGCUUAAUACAUGCAAGUCGAGGGGUAACAGGGGCUUCGGCCCGCUGACGACCGGCGCACGGGUGAGUAACGCGUACGCAAUUUACCUCCAAGUGAGGGAUAGCCCCGGGAAACUGGGAUUAAUACCUCAUGUGGUUAUGAAGCCGCAUGGCUUCCUAACUAAAGCUCAGGCGCUUGGAGAUGAGCGUGCGUCCCAUUAGCUAGUUGGAGAGGUAACGGCUCACCAAGGCAACGAUGGGUAGGGGGCGUGAGAGCGUGGCCCCCCACACGGGUACUGAGACACGGAUCCGACUCCUACGGGAGGCAGCAGUAAGGAAUAUUGGACAAUGGAGGCAACUCUGAUCCAGCCAUCCCGCGUGCAGGAUGACGGCCCUACGGGUUGUAAACUGCUUUUGUUAGGGAAGAACUCCCCGGAUUUACUCUGGGGCUGACGGUACCUUUCGAAUAAGCACCGGCUAACUCCGUGCCAGCAGCCGCGGUAAUACGGAGGGUGCAAGCGUUAUCCGGAAUUACUGGGUUUAAAGGGUGCGUAGGCGGCGCAGUAAGUCAGAGGUGAAAGGCCGUGGCUCAACCAUGGAAUUGCCUUUGAUACUGUUGUGCUUGAAUCAGGUUGAGGACAGCGGAAUGUGGCAUGUAGCGGUGAAAUGCAUAGAUAUGCCAUAGAACACCGAUUGCGAAGGCAGCUGUCUGGGCCUGGAUUGACGCUGAGGCACGAAAGCGUGGGGAGCGAACA